This 228-nucleotide ribosomal RNA is filed under the name uncultured bacterium. RNAcentral's name for it is "partial 16S ribosomal RNA". It matches the Rfam family "Bacterial small subunit ribosomal RNA", at positions 122 to 334 of the family's 1533-position model. The record is from RNAcentral.
CAACCUGCCCUUCAGAGGGGGACAACAGUUGGAAACGACUGCUAAUACCGCAUACGAUCCAAUCUCGGCAUCGAGACUGGAUGAAAGGUGGCCUCUAUUUAUAAGCUAUCACUGAAGGAGGGGAUUGCGUCUGAUUAGCUAGUUGGAGGGGUAACGGCCCACCAAGGCGAUGAUCGGUAGCCGGACUGAGAGGUUGAACGGCCACAUUGGGACUGAGACACGGCCCAG